This 73-nucleotide transfer RNA is filed under the name Tortispora caseinolytica NRRL Y-17796. It matches the Rfam family "tRNA". From Rfam's summary of the family: Transfer RNA (tRNA) molecules are approximately 80 nucleotides in length. Their secondary structure includes four short double-helical elements and three loops (D, anti-codon, and T loops). Lineage: Eukaryota; Fungi; Ascomycota; Trigonopsidomycetes; Trigonopsidales; Trigonopsidaceae. The record is from Rfam by way of RNAcentral.
GGUCUAGUGGCCUAAAGGUUAAGGCGCUGCUUUCCGGAGGCAGAGAUUGCGGGUUCGAGUCCCGCCUGGAUCU